RNAcentral lists this long non-coding RNA (889 nucleotides) under Olea europaea subsp. europaea. Lineage: Eukaryota; Viridiplantae; Streptophyta; Magnoliopsida; Lamiales; Oleaceae. The record is from RNAcentral.
UCAAGUUUGACGAUAAGGGGAUUAAUGUUAUGCCGGGGUGGAUAACUUUAUCAUGGCUGCCAUUGGAUUGUUGGUAUCCAAACACUUUGGGGAAGAUUGCCUUCAAAGUUGGAAAACCAAUAAAUUUGGAUAAGCUCACAUCAAUUAAGGCUCCACUUCCGUAUGCAAGAGAUCUUCUUGAAAUCGAUGCUUCUUUGGAUUUAGAUUUAGACUAGUCGGUCAAGAUAAAAUUGCCGACUGGAAAGUUGAGAGAUCAGCUUGCUUUUUAUGAACAUGAUCCUAAAUUUUGCUCAACUUGCAAAAUAUUUGGCCACUCAACUCUUGGUUGCAAUCCAAAAAAACAAUAUUGCAUGUGAUAAAGGUAAUCCCAGCAUGAUUAACGCACCAACGAACUCUGGCUAUUGCUAUUCAAAACCAAAAAACAGGUAAGUUGUGGAGCAGCCAAUUGUAUCAAGUGUUAUUAGCUAGGACAAAGAUGGAACAGGUGAUAAGCAUCAAGAAGGUGUGCAAGAAGUUCCAUUAUGUGACAUGUUUAUAAAGAAGAAAUACAACAACAUUUGAAAGUGAUAGAUUGCAGGAAAAUGUAACCAGCAGAAUGGGGUGUCUGACCACAGGGACCACCCAACUGGGAAUGGAGAUUUUGAAGGCCCUAAGUCGAAGGCAACCUCUAACGAAAAGCUCAAAGGGAAACUCGAUGAGCUAUGAACUGUAGCAACCAGAAAAGACAAAACGGAGAACUCUGUGCAUAUUUCUUCAAGAAACUAGCAACGGGAUUAGACACUUCAUGUUCUUGAUUUAUCGAAGUUGUAAUGUUUGAUUCAUUUUGAGUCUCUUGCUUUGGGCCAUUAGAUCUUUUGUAAUGUUUGUUUUGUAAGCCUGGAUAUGUCCG